RNAcentral lists this ribosomal RNA (305 nucleotides) under uncultured bacterium. Its description in RNAcentral is "bacterial SSU rRNA". It matches the Rfam family "Bacterial small subunit ribosomal RNA", at positions 333 to 631 of the family's 1533-position model. The record is from RNAcentral.
AGUCCCCUACGGGGCGCAGCAGUGGGGAAUCUUCCGCAAUGGGCGAAAGCCUGACGGAGCAACGCCGCGUGAUCGAAUGAAGGCCUUCGGGUUGUAAAGAUCUGUUGACAGGGACGAAUAAGCAAUGCGAAUAGUUUUGUGCAUGACGGUACCUGUUUAGAAAGCUCCGGCUAACUACGUGCCUGCAGCCGCGGUAAUACGUAGGGAGCAAGCGUUGUCCGGAAUUACUGGGCGUAAAGGGCGCGUAGGUGGGCGCUUAAGUCAGGUGUGAAGACUCCGGGCUAAACCUGGAGACUGAACUUGAA